GACCAGACUCCUACGGGAGGCAGCAGUGGGGAAUAUUGCACAAUGGGGGAAACCCUGAUGCAGCGACGCCGCGUGAGUGAAGAAGUAUUUCGGUAUGUAAAGCUCUAUCAGCAGGGAAGAAGUUGACGGUACCUGAGUAAGAAGCCCCGGCUAACUACGUGCCAGCAGCCGCGGUAAUACGUAGGGGGCAAGCGUUAUCCGGAUUUACUGGGUGUAAAGGGAGCGUAGACGGCAGUGCAAGUCUGAAGUGAAAGCCCCGGGCUUAACCCGGGAACUGCUUUGGAAACUGUACGGCUGGAGUGCUGGAGAGGUAAGCGGAAUUCCUAGUGUAGCGGUGAAAUGCGUAGAUAUUAGGAGGAACACCAGUGGCGAAGGCGGCUUACUGGACAGUAACUGACGUUGAGGCUCGAAAGCGUGGGGAGCAAACAGGAUUAGAUACCCCGGUAGUC
RNAcentral lists this ribosomal RNA (449 nucleotides) under uncultured bacterium. RNAcentral's name for it is "bacterial SSU rRNA". It matches the Rfam family "Bacterial small subunit ribosomal RNA", at positions 329 to 795 of the family's 1533-position model. The record is from RNAcentral.